CACUCAGUGACUUGGAUUUUUCAAGUCUCCAAUCGAGAAGUUUUCCUCACUCGGGAAAUUAAGGGAACACUACCUCAACCUACAUGCUCCACUCACAAAGCUUCAACAUACAAGCUUUCAACAAAAGAAAAAUUCAAAGAACUUAGUGAAGAAGGCUUUGGUGUAUUUAACACAAUACGUUGAAAUGAAACAAAACUUAUUUAUUGAUAUCUCUAAGAAGUUACAAAUAUGUACAUAUACAUGAGUCAAAAUAAAACAAACAAGAGGGAGCCUUCACAAAGGUUGCUUAGGAGAAGUCUCAGAAGUCGGUAGAGCCCCAGAAAGAGAAGGCACCGGAGGGGGAUCAUUCG
RNAcentral lists this long non-coding RNA (350 nucleotides) under Malus domestica (apple). RNAcentral describes it as "long non-coding RNA (MDOM_LNC016728)". Lineage: Eukaryota; Viridiplantae; Streptophyta; Magnoliopsida; Rosales; Rosaceae. The record is from RNAcentral.